AGCAGCAGCCACGGUAAUACGAAGGGUGCAAGCGUUAAUCGGAAUUACUGGGCGUAAAGCGUGCGUAGGCGGUGAGUUAAGUCUGCUGUGAAAUCCCCGGGCUCAACCUGGGAAUGGCAGAGGAUACUGGCUCGCUAGAGUGUGUCAGAGGAUGGUGGAAUUCCCGGUGUAGCGGUGAAAUGCGUAGAGAUCGGGAGGAACAUCAGUGGCGAAGGCGGCAAUCUGGGACAACACUGACGCUGAGGCACGAAAGCGUGGGGAGCAAACAGGAUUAGAUACCCCUGUAGUCCCUGUCUCUUAUAC
This 303-nucleotide ribosomal RNA is filed under the name uncultured bacterium. Its description in RNAcentral is "partial 16S ribosomal RNA". It matches the Rfam family "Bacterial small subunit ribosomal RNA", at positions 507 to 807 of the family's 1533-position model. The record is from RNAcentral.